Molecule: long non-coding RNA, 1761 nt
Organism: Aegilops tauschii subsp. strangulata
Lineage: Eukaryota; Viridiplantae; Streptophyta; Magnoliopsida; Poales; Poaceae
Source: RefSeq, a predicted model, not a curated record
UGCUUUUGUGACUUAGGGAUCGAUGCUACUCCCUUUAAGAUUGUUGCUUCCUGAUUUUUCUUACCAGGGGUUGUCAUCUAAAGUUGAUUUUUAUAGGAAUCAGGACCUGUUCUUUUUUCUUCACCAGGAACUGGUUCCUGAUUUGGCUGAUGAUCCUUUUCUUCCUCCAUGUUAUGUUCCUUCGGUUAAUUCCUAUACCACCAAAUAAUUCCUCUCCAUGGCUCAUGGUAUGGUUGUUGUGUUCGGCUGCACAGGGUUGUGAUUAGGUUUGCUGUCGUGUUCGUUCCUGCAGUCAUUGCUGGGGUUGGCGCUGCUCCUCCUUCGGAUUUGGUUGUUCCGUUCGUGUUCAUCUCCUUCUCAGGUUCAAGGAAUUGUCCUCAACGUCACUCAAUUGGGAAAGAUAAUGCAGAGGGGUUGGAAGUAAAUUGCAGUGUCUCUGAUAGCACCAACUGCCAUUUACGGAUCCAAGGCUCGUCGGCUGGGCAGUGCAAGGCGUAACUCCGACGUGGUUCCUCGCCGAUUGGACGGUGUUCAGGCGCAACCCGGUGCCCACUGAGUACUGCCUCGGCUACAACCUCCCUUGGUGAGCUCCAUCUUCCUCCUGCUCAUCUGCUUCGGCUACUGCAUUGGACAUGGCCGUGGCUAUAUUGAUGUGGUGCUCGUCUAGAAUCCUUUUUGAUCAUGUGAUACUUGUUGCUCUGUCCUUGGAUGGUCAUUCUUGUUGAGUGAUAACCAGGGCAGCUCCACUGUAUAAACAGAUUGAUCUGGUGAUAAGAGACGGGGGUAGGUUAUAUGAUCGAGGAAAGUCAGAUCUGAGCCCACUAUGCAAUGAACCCUGGAUCCUUUUUAUUUGUAUUUAAAGGUGUUGCUUAUUUAUGCUCCGGUGUUUAUAGUCGUCUUAUGUAAAGAUUUCUUCUCUCUCAUACCUUUAUUGCAUAUGAGUUGUUCUUGGUCUUUUAUUGUUUGUUGUUGGUCCUUGAUUUAAUCUGGUUAAGAGUAAGCUGCACUUUGUUAUACUAGAAAGACAUGCUCCCAGCAAGUUAUAGGGGCCUCUCUUGCUGCCUUAAGUUUGUAUGGUAAAGUAUGCAUCAUGUGUGCCUCUGUUUUCUUUCCCUCUUGUAUUCCUAUGUCUUGCUUCACAUAUCAUGGCACUUGAUAUAUGCAUGGUUGUUGGCGAUCGGACGCCACCACCGCCGCCGAUGCCAUCGUGGCUCUUGCCGCCGUCAAACAUUAAGCUUGAGUCUCAGUUUGAUCUUACGGUUCUACGGCUCAAAGGUUGAUGACUGCCAUGAGGCACUACCCAGUUAAAUCUUCGUCCAAGCUGACAACAAUCCUCUUGGUCUUAAAAAAUUUGUCGAGGCGGCACGGAUCAAAGAAUAACAGAUCUGGGUCUUCGCCUUCCAAGAUUAGAAGGGGGAAACCAUCGCUCACUGUCCAUAUGCUUUAAAAGCAAAUCUCAAGUGCAUUACCUAUACAAAAAUAAUUUUGUGGUCAUCUAUCUCACAAACUAUUCACAUCAAGUUUAUAUGGAAUGGCACUCACGGAGGCAAUUGAGCCAAGCUAUCUAUUGUAUGCCUAACUAUGGCCUCCAUUGCCAUUGUUGGCUUUUUCUCUCUUAUGUUUCUGCUCAUAUUACUGAACUGGCACGGGUUAACUUUGAUAGUCUCAUGCCCAUGUUUAACUUGAUGAUGUUACUCUUCUGGCACAUAUUGAAUGUUUCUUCUUACUCUUGAACCGGCCAGACAAUCGGUUGUUCUGUUA